GAACUUAUUUAUAGGAAACUAAAUUUGCUCACAAAUCUAGAUAUUUAUUACAUUGGAAAUGAUAAAACAAAUGCAUGAAUGAGAGAGAGUGUUCACAAGGAUUCCUUACAUGUAGGAGAGAGAAGCUUUUCAUGCAAUUAACCACCUAAUUUUCGUAACUCUUCUUGGACAUCAAACAAACCACUUGUUUAUGAAUCUUUUUGGGAUUGUAACUUGAUAAAAAUGGGCUGGACAUGCUACCUAACAUUAUUGAUCAAUUUCUGAAUGUCUUUCAUGUCUAUAGCUUCAUAUAUCAGCCCAUGAUCACAUCAUACUCCUCCUCUUCAAAAAGAUUUGUCCUCAAAUCUUGCUCUCCGAAGAAAGAAAAACUUGAACACACACUUCCCAAAAGAUCCAGCAGAUUUGUAGAACAUAAAUAACAAAACAUUUUUUUUCUCUUUUUUUUUUCUUUAGAAGAUGGAUAGAUGAGAAUGGUGGAUAAGAGAAGUGAAUACCGCUUUCAGAGUGGCUCUGAUACCAAAUGAUAAAAACCUCCCAAGGAAUACACUCUGAAAUUGGUAAGGGAUAAACCUUGCACCGAAUGAGCCCGAAAGCAACAAACGAUCAAGGGAUGUGGAUCGAAAGAUGACACAAGAGGAGCGGAAAGUCUCUUGAUACUACCCUAUAAUGACCGCCUCUAGAUAUGACACACUAGAUUAGACCAAGUUAGACUGAAGGAUAUUACACACCAACAAUCAUAAAUUUUUUGACCAAUGGAUAUGACACACCAUGAUCGAAAACAAGUUUGAGAACUACUCUCAAGGUUCCAAAAGUAUAAACUCAACUCUUAUUUUAUUUCAAUAGAGAUUAGAACUUAUUUAUAGGAAACUAAACUUGCUCACAAAUCUAGAUAUUUAUUACAUUGGAAAUGAUAAAACAAAUGCAUGGAUGAGAGAGAGUGUUCUUGAAACAACGAUUCCUUGCAUGUAGGAGAGAGAAGCUUUUCAUGCAAUUAACCACAUAAUUUUCGUAACUCCUCCUGGACAUCAAACAAACCACUUGUUUAUGAAUCUUUUUGGAAUUGUAACUUGAUAAAAAUGGGCUGGACAUGCUACCUAACAUCAUUGAUCAAUUUCUGAAUAUCUUUCAUGUCUAUAGCUUUAUAUAUCAGCCCAUGAUCACAUCACUUAUACGAUCCCCAAAAGCUCUCCCAACGUAUUUUCCCACCUCAAAUAUUGGUAAAC
RNAcentral lists this long non-coding RNA (1223 nucleotides) under Brassica napus (rape). Its description in RNAcentral is "long non-coding RNA (BNAP_LNC026836)". Lineage: Eukaryota; Viridiplantae; Streptophyta; Magnoliopsida; Brassicales; Brassicaceae. The record is from RNAcentral.